This 443-nucleotide ribosomal RNA is filed under the name uncultured bacterium. Its description in RNAcentral is "partial 16S ribosomal RNA". It matches the Rfam family "Bacterial small subunit ribosomal RNA", at positions 338 to 795 of the family's 1533-position model. The record is from RNAcentral.
ACUACGGGAGGCUGCAGUGGGGGAUAUUGGACAAUGGGGGGAACCCUGAUCCAGCGACGCCGCGUGAGUGAAGAAGUAUUUCGGUAUGUAAAGCUCUGUCAGCAGGGAAGAAAGAAAUGACGGUACCUGACCAAGAAGCCCCGGCUAACUACGUGCCAGCAGCCGCGGUAAUACGUAGGGGGCAAGCGUUAUCCGGAAUUACUGGGUGUAAAGGGAGCGUAGACGGUUAAGUAAGUCUGGAGUGAAAGGCCGGGGCCCAACCCCGGGACUGCUCUGGAAACUAUUGAACUUGAGUGCAGGAGAGGUAAGCGGAAUUCCUAGUGUAGCGGUGAAAUGCGUAGAUAUUAGGAGGAACACCAGUGGCGAAGGCGGCUUACUGGACUGUAACUGACGUUGAGGCUCGAAAGCGUGGGGAGCAAACAGGAUUAGAUACCCGUGUAGUC